CCAGGACCGGUCGCAGAGAUGUGACCUUCUCUUCGGAGCCUGGAACACAGGUGCUGCAUGGCUGUCGUCAGCUCGUGUCGUGAGAUGUUGGGUUAAGUCCCGCAACGAGCGCAACCCCCGUCCUUAGUUGCUACCAUUUAGUUGAGCACUCUAAGGAGACUGCCGGUGAUAAGCCGCGAGGAAGGUGGGGAUGGCGUCAAGUCCUCAUGGCCCUUACGGGCUGGGCUACACACGUGCUACAAUGGCGGUGACAAUGGGA
RNAcentral lists this ribosomal RNA (259 nucleotides) under Microbacterium plantarum. RNAcentral's name for it is "partial 16S ribosomal RNA". It matches the Rfam family "Bacterial small subunit ribosomal RNA", at positions 990 to 1247 of the family's 1533-position model. The record is from RNAcentral. Lineage: Bacteria; Bacillati; Actinomycetota; Actinomycetes; Micrococcales; Microbacteriaceae.